RNAcentral lists this long non-coding RNA (487 nucleotides) under Cottoperca gobio. Lineage: Eukaryota; Metazoa; Chordata; Actinopteri; Perciformes; Bovichtidae. The record is from RNAcentral.
CCAGCUGUUGGAGGCAAAUCAAAGAUGAAGAACAAGGAUGAAGGACUUUGACAGGCUGAUCUGCACUGUCCAAACUGAACUCUUCUAAUGAGCCGCGAGUGAGGUGAAGGCUUGUUGUGCAGGACGUCCUGGAGUCUCACGGUAAGUUCCUAUUACUCGUUGUUUUAAUGCACAUGUCCUUCUAUAAUGCAGUUACAAUGAUGAUGAACUUAGCUCACUUUGAACCGAUGUGAAACGACACGAACAACUGAGCAACUGCAUUACUUUCAGCUUCAAGUCUGGAAUGAACUUUAGUUAAAAGUGUCUCCAGCGUGUAGUAACUGUGUUCUGUUACAGGUUCAUGACCGAGGCUUCACUCGUGCUGCUGAAGUCCAUGGUGCUGCUGAAGUCAAAGGUACCUGGCUCUUGGAGAUGCUGCCAACUUAACGACAGGUGCUUGUCCAGGUCAAUGCUGAACUGGGGUCAUCAAGACGGACCGAGCCAAUGA